CAGGACAUAAUUUAAGUAGAAUGCCGGCUUUGGGGGCCGGUAGUGAAGGUUUAAUUCCUUUUGUCUUGA
RNAcentral lists this transfer RNA (69 nucleotides) under Pelophylax shqipericus (Albanian pool frog). Its description in RNAcentral is "tRNA-Pro". It matches the Rfam family "tRNA". Rfam says of the family: Transfer RNA (tRNA) molecules are approximately 80 nucleotides in length. Lineage: Eukaryota; Metazoa; Chordata; Amphibia; Anura; Ranidae. The record is from RNAcentral.